UUCAAGUACCAUUCUCAUUUCCUUAUUUUGAGGAAACAAACUUGUUUAGUAUUUGUAGAAUUCAUUCCAUAAACAACAACUCGUAGUUGUGUCCAUGCCUAUAAAUACUAGCCUUGAGAUACAAUUGUAAUCAUGCGUCCCUGAUAGAUGACCAAAGCAGACUCGAAAGUUGGCUUCUCUUAAGUGUUUUCAGUUCAUUACAUAGUGCUCUCAUGAAUCUGCGUGGACUUUUACGGGUUUAAUCGUCUUGUACAUGUAAAUAUAUGAAUUCAUACUGAUUUUCUUUCUUUUUUUCUUGUGCAUCAAGCAGGUGACACCUUAAGGACUUAAAUUUAUUUGUCGUUGCCAGGUAAAGUUCUUUCCUUUUCUUAUACAUUCUUCUACUUUUCAUUUCUUUUUCAAGGCUCAAAAGGAGUCGAUUCUGAUACAAACACUAAUUUUAAAGUGGUACCAAAAGUUUACUUCGUUCAGACAGAAGACUUUACCUUAUUCUGUUCAAGCGAAGAUUUUUCGUUAUUCCUUUCGAGCCGAAGGCUUUACUUUACCUUGACCAAUGAGAAGGCUUUACAAUGUUCAGAGUAAAGAUCAUUAAGCUGUCUAAACUGAAGAUUUUAUGUUGUUCGAUGUAAGGACCAUUAUACCGUUUAAGCCAAAAAAUUUAUUUUAUAAUAAGCAAAGAUCAUUACAUUGUUUAAACCAAAGACUUUACUGUAUACGAGGCAAAGACCAAUAUAUUGUCUGAGUCAAAUAUUUUACUUUGUCCGAUCAGUAGACCGUCUAAGCCAAACUUUAUUUUAUCUGAAACGAAGAUGAUUACACCGUUCGAGCCAGAGAUUUUAUCUUGUCUGAAGUGAAGACUAUUACACCGUUUGAGGCAAAAAUUUACUUUGUAUGAGGUGAAGACCAUUACACCAUCUGAGCCAAAGACUUUACUUUAUACAAGGCAAAUUAUAUUACACCGGCUAAGCUGAAAAUUAUAUUUUGCAAAGGCGAAGACAACCAUCUAAGCUGAAGAGUUUACUUUGUCCGAGGCUAAGACCAUUAUACUGUCUAAACUGAAGACUAUAUUUUGUCCAAGAAUUUGACUUUCUUUAUCAAUGGCAAAGACCAUCACACCAAAGACUUUACUUUUAUCUGAGGCAAAGACCAUUACACCGUCUGAGCCAAAGAUUUAUUUUGUCUGAAGCGAAGAUCAUUAUACUGCCUGAGCUAAAGACUUCAUUUUAUUUGAAGCGAAGACCAUUAUAGAGUCUAACUUGCAGAUUUUAUUUUAUCGCCAAAAGAUUUUACCUUUUGGUGCAAAGGAACAAAAGCUCGUCCUCAUUUCGAGAUGCACGAAUCAGAGAUUGUAUGAAGCAUGAUUUCUUUUUCAAAAAGCUGACCACCAAGAAUAUCUCUUCAAUUUGGAUCUUCACAUGUAAUUUUAUGAUCUCCUUUAUAUAGAUAUGUUUUUUUUUUUGCAGGUAGAAUAAGAAAUCAAUUCCAAAGAUAUCACUUUAGUAAAGAAAAUCUCGCAGUUGAAGGAUCCUCUUUCUGCAACACAAAUCAAGUCAUGCAAGCCAACAUUUUAAAUACUUCUAGUUGAAGAUUUAAAGACAUAUUAAAAUCUUCCUUCUAAUAGUUCAAGAUCUAAAUAUUAAAGAUGGUGCAGACUAUAUCAAAGGAUUUUACUAUACACUUGGAGAUAGACUGAAGCUUCCAAUUAAAGAAUUGAAGGCUAUAUCAAUUUGAAGACUAUUAUGGUGGCUUUUGAUUGGCUUUCAAUUGAAGAUUAGCUUGUAAAUUUCAACUUAAAGACAUGGCAAACUUGAAAGCCUCUACUUGAAGACUUGACAGAUUUGAAGACUUUAAGUUGAUGAUUCAACUUGAAAAUUUUGCAGAAUUGAAGACUUCAACUCUUGGCGAAUUCGAAGGCCUUAACUUGACUUGGUGAAUUUGAAGACUGCAACUUUAAGACCUAGCGGGCUUGAACACUUCAAAUUAAUGAUGUAACAGACUUGAAAAAAUUAACUUGACUUAGAAUUGGAGACUUCAAAUUGAAUAUUUAGCCUCUUAUUAAAAAAACUACAAUCAUUCCAUCAAAAGACUCAAUUUGACAUGGAAGGCCUGCCCCCAUUGAGCCAUCAAGAUAAGAUAGAGAGUUCAACGAAAGAAUACAUGUAUGACUGACUAAUUUUCAAGUGUCAAUCAAGUGAAUUUUAUUCCAUCAUACCUCAUUUGAAUAAUGCCUUGGGUAAUAUGUAUUUUUGAACUCAUAUGACUGAACUUAGAAUGAAACUCUAAGUUGCCUACGUACCUCGGUGAAGAGGAUCAAGUCAUUCCAUAGUUAGAAAUGGG
This 2337-nucleotide long non-coding RNA is filed under the name Nicotiana tabacum (common tobacco). RNAcentral's name for it is "long non-coding RNA (NTAB_LNC002440)". The record is from RNAcentral. Lineage: Eukaryota; Viridiplantae; Streptophyta; Magnoliopsida; Solanales; Solanaceae.